Molecule: microRNA precursor, 92 nt
Filed under: Octodon degus (degu)
Lineage: Eukaryota; Metazoa; Chordata; Mammalia; Rodentia; Octodontidae
Description: microRNA 532 (ENSODEG00000022059.1)
Rfam family: mir-532 microRNA precursor family (bases 9-82)
Source: RNAcentral
ACUUGCUUUCUCUCUUCCAUGCCUUGAGUGUAGGACCGUUGGCGUCUAAUUACCCUCCCACACCCAAGGCUUGCAGGAGGGUGAGCCUCCUC